UACAUAGAACUGCACGAGGUAGUACAAAUCCAAUAUACACCCUUGAUAUCCAUGGUACAACUAUUACAUGUACGUCACGUGUACAUGCAUAACCCUAACUUAUGUGUAUGCUGUGAAUUGACUAACAUAUAAUUAUACAUCGAGCUAGUGCAUGUAUGUGUAUAAUGAGAUCAUAGUAAACUAUUUAGCAUUCAGUUUGACAAUGAAAUGUGCAUUGUGACUUCGUUUUUGAUGCUAAAAAUAGCUUGAUCCUUAUAAUAAAUGUGGCAUUGACAAUAGCACGUGGUAUAUAUAGUUUUUGUCCAGGGUGUGAGCAGAACACUAGUUUGCAAUUGUCAUGUCUGAAUCCAAAUACCUACUCUUUCUAGUAGUACUAGUUAGUGCUAGAAAUGCUGUUAGUGGUGCACCUGUGAAUAUUGCUCCAGUAGUGACUGAAAGUUCUGGUCGUGAACCUUUACCUCAGUGUGACCCAGGAGAGGACAGUUGUUCCCAGUGUUACGAUUUUCUUGUCAACGAAAUGAUUAUAAGCAACAAAAAUCGUUUUAAUCUCCUAAAGGUUUUCUUUCCUGCAAACAAUUCCAACCCUGUAUUUGUAAGGGUUACCUAUCAUUUUACUCGAAACCCAGACGGUCCUACAGAUUAUUUGGAGGAAGGUUCAACUCAAGAAUGGUUUUGGACGCAGUCGACAUUUUAUCUAUUCCAACCAAUAGCAAGUUUGCAGUUCACUUCUCUCCUGUUUUCUGACACAACGUUAAGUUCAAAUCAAAUCGAUCUGUAUUUACAGCCAAGUUGUGAAAACAGUAGUAUCGAUAUGAUGCAGCUACUAACUCAAAGGUUAAAGUCGUAUACAGCUAUGCAAACUAUUGCUGCUCCAAUUAGCGAUGAUUACGACGCAAAAGGAGAGAGCCUAGAAACAUUGUUGAGGUUUCACAAUGGUAGUUAUAUCGAUGGAGGUCAACAUCUUAGCUAUUAUACAUUUGCUUUCCACUUUGUAUUCCCAUUUCUUGGAGUUUUGUUCAUUGCGAAUCUGUUGCAUCAUUUUGUAGAAAACGAUAAACUUAUUUUUGUGAGGAGUGAAAAGUCUGCAGACAAUGAUAGUCAUAGUCUGGGAGUGAUAAAGAUUUCAACUGUCAAUAUGACUGUAUAUAUCAGUGUUACGUGUUGUUUUCUUUUUGUGCUUUUUGUGAUUGUACUCGAUUGCAUUGGAGUCAAUAAAC
This is a long non-coding RNA of Halichondria panicea, 1217 nucleotides long. RefSeq lists it as uncharacterized. The record is from RefSeq and is a predicted model, not a curated record. Lineage: Eukaryota; Metazoa; Porifera; Demospongiae; Suberitida; Halichondriidae. The transcript is spliced from 2 exons.